RNAcentral lists this long non-coding RNA (1866 nucleotides) under Olea europaea subsp. europaea. The record is from RNAcentral. Lineage: Eukaryota; Viridiplantae; Streptophyta; Magnoliopsida; Lamiales; Oleaceae.
AUCGAAACUAGAAAAAAGCCCGAUUAAAUAAUUCAAUCGUUCGUCUUUCUUUUCCUCGAUUCACCAUCUUCAAAUAAUUCACCCUCAACAAUAUAUAAAUAGCACGCCAACCCUCAAAAGUUCAUAAUACGCACUGUGCUAUUCCAUUUUAAUAGAAGCUAUUAUAAUCCAAGGAUCAAGGAUCCAUCACCUCUUUCACUGUCAUCAAGAUCUAGUACAAAAUUUAAUAUCUGCAUGCAAAGUGAGAAAAUUCUUCCUUCUUUUUGUGUUACUUUUUAUUUUGCUUAGACUAUGUAGUAUAUAGUGGUUUAUAAUGAUGCACUUUUAAGAUAAUCGGUGAAAUAACAAUUUUUUGAUUCGUACGAAUUUAGAUUAGAAGAAUUAAGUAUAUACGUAUUUAAUUUGCUUCAUGAAUUUCCCUUUUUUUCCUUAUUUGGCGGUGAUUUUCUAGGGUUUUGCCGUUUUGGUUAAUGCGUUGAAUAUACGUUUUAUUAAUAAUCGGAAAUGAUUGUUCUUCUAAAUUGGAAUCUAAAUUAUUUAACUGAUGGAUGGAAAGUAUCGGUAAUCACCUUACCAGAGGGACGAUCAUAAGGUGUAAGUGCGAGUGCUUUCGUCCUACUGACUAUGAAGUCUGCCGGCCUUUGCUGUCUGACUUGUGGUUUCCUCUUUUUAUCUAACUGAUUAUUAUUUUGGGGGUUUUACUCUGUCCUCUUUUAGUUGGAUUUCCUUAUCAUGUUUAAGUUGAAGAGUGUUCGAAAUUUGCUCAAGGCAAAAAUUUUAAUAGAAAGAACAAGAAAGUAAUUAUGGUUGAUAUGUUUAGGAGUUUGAGCUGAUACAUGUUUCUCAUGUAGAAGUUAGUGAAAUUUGUCUACUCACGUGGUAUGUUGGAUGAAGUAUACCACCUGCAUUUUGUUCAAUUUUAUGGUCACCACAUGGAAUGUUAUGAGCCACACAUGGACCGACUGUGCUGUAAUGUGGUUGAUUAUGGAUUCAGUGAACUUGUAACAUCGCUGGUAUCCCUGAUAUGUUCAUUGAGUUGCCUUUUUUAAAAUAAAAUUUCCUCAGCUUGUUCAGUACCAGUGAUAUUGUCAUUUAGACGUAGUAAAUCUCGUGGUUCUUAUUUUGUGGAAUUAGGAAUGAAGAGGACAACAUAUUUCACGAAAGAUAGCCUCUCCAGAAUGUACAUUUGGUCUUCUGGAGAAAAUUUUGAGUAUUUCAGAAGUACGUCCACUUCCUUGAAGGUUCUCUGCUCCGAGGAUUGAUAAUUCGUACCUUACCAGUCUGCAAAUUGCAGAGCAUUCCAAAAGCUGAAAUUGCUUGAAGUCAGUUUUCAAUGCGCAAAAGCUUAUGCGGAUAUUUGCAAGGAGAUGAGAAGCUGAAUUGGAAAACGAGAAUUUUGUAGAAAAUGAUUAAAUUUGUGAUACUGAACUUCAGGUUGAGUUUUCCUCCAACUGAAAUUUUUGGCACUGCUUUUCCCUGAAUUUUUUGCUGCAAAUGUGAAGUGAAAACCCUGUUCGUUAUCUUGGAUAACUUUGUGCAAAUGCAAAUUGUAUAUGAAUUUACAUGUAGCUGUUUUGAAUUUGGACUUAUCGUGUUGGAUGUUAGACUGCAUAGGACUGGAUAAGAUCAAUAAGUAUUGAACUUUGCCCAUGACCGCUACACUAUGUCAAACAUGUUACUGGCAAUGAAGUGGAAUUGUCGUGGUGAUUAUGAUGAUUUGCCAAAUGUAAUUAGAGAUUGUAAUAUGAUUGAUUUCAAUUGAAUAAUGAAAGGUAGACCAUAGAAAGAAGCCUUCUUGUAACAAGAUUUAAUGAUUUCUACAUGGAAGAUUAUGUCAACUUCCGACUCGAACAAUCAGCAGAAUGA